Molecule: long non-coding RNA, 4140 nt
Organism: Bombus huntii
Lineage: Eukaryota; Metazoa; Arthropoda; Insecta; Hymenoptera; Apidae
Exons: 2
Source: RefSeq, a predicted model, not a curated record
AAACUAUUUCGAAAUUAUGUUUGUUAUUCUAGAGAUAGAUAUUAUGCCCGUGUCAACGCUAGAUAUACCGAAAUUUUCAACAAUAUUUUGUUUAAUAUAAUGUGCUAUAUAAACUCAAUAAACAAUUUACUGUCAUUUAUUACGUUCAGCUUGUUCGCUAUCAGAUGUGAAAAAAAGUAAUUAAUAGCUUAAUAUUGCUAGCAAAUAAGCUGUGAUACUGUUUUUUUUCUUCUUUGUGUACAUUGUGCGUCCUUAAUGAUCUAUCAGCGACAUGUCUGAUACCGUACUGUGUAAAUAGAGAAAUGAUUACAAUAGCAAUCUGUAAUGAAAUUCGUAUCACUAAUUACUAUCGAUCAAGUCCAUGAUUGAUUUGAAAAUAACAUUUCUCUCGAAAAAUAAGACUCCAGUGCUUUGUCGUCUGGGUUUUUAAGACAUGCUUCGGCCAUUAGUAUGAAUAAAUAAAUAAUGUAAGACAGUGUAGAUUAAUUUGGAAAAAGAUAAGCAUAAGAUAAGAUUACUGUUUAGAAUAAGAAUUCCGUUUAUUUGUGCACAUCGAGAGACAAAAACAGAUCCUAUAUCUAAUUGAAGUUCAUAAAUAGAAAUUCACUGAUUCACUUCAUUGUCUUAUGAUUUUUUAUUCGUGUAAUUGGAUGUUUACGUUCAGACACGUAAGUGGAUUUAAUCUUCAAGAAUUUAUUUAACCAGACAGUGUCUAAAAUUUCGUUCCAAUAAAUGGGAUUCCAUUCUACGUUUAUUAAAUAAACACUCAACUAACGUCUAAUAAACGAACACCUUAUGGAAAUAAUUUCAAUGUUAAAGCAAGUAUUUUGGUCGCAGUAAGAGAUGUUGGAGAACAAAGGAAUAGGAAAAGUGAAGCUUAAAGAUAAGAAAUUAGGAAGAAUUUAAAUAUAAGAAAUUCGAGGGCAAAGUGAGAACUUCAGGUUACAUGAACAUAUGGAGUCACAAUGUCAUGGAUUUAUCAAGAAGAGGAUCAAAGUUUUCAUAGAACAUCCAUGUCAAUCGUUGUUCAAAAGUCCACUUGAACGCAACUGAUCUGUUGCUAUAUAGUAUACCGACGAUAAACCGUCGUUUCCCCGAAGAAGCGUUUGAUUAUUCGAGAAGAUUGGCUGUACUCGUUGUCAUCGGCGACAAUGGAGAGUAAUUACAUUAUCACGGUGUUGUAUGAUCGACAUUCGAUGCAGUAAGUUAUAAAACGUAUAGUCAUCGGCUCGUGUCCCGCAGAAGCGAAGUCUUUUCCUUUAGGAAGACAGAUCGAUUCAAGACUGGUGGAGAUCGUUGCACCUGUUAUUCAGGGACGAAGAAACAAUCGACUGCAAAACUAUUUUUCAAGAUAACUAAUUAAGAUGGGACACGUGUUCUCGAUACGAAGAUCGUUGUUCUAUUCCAUACUUUUCAAAAUGUAAAACAUACGAUUCGCAACAUAGCCUCAUGGUCGAAAAAGUUGACGAUAUUACGCAGGUAACAGGACGCUCAGGCUCUGUUUACUUGAUAUUAUUAAAAAAAUUUUGGAACUUAUAUUAUCGUAAUAUGUUACAUUGUACGUAUUAUAAACUAUCGAUACAUGUAUAAAUUCCUUCGUAUGAUAAUAACAAGAUUUAUAAUGAAAUGAGCGAAGUCUUAAAAGUGAUCGUCACAAAUUACAGCCAAGGUAAUCGCCUUAUUUAACUUGUAAUUGUAAAUUGUAAAACUGUGAAAAGUAUUUGUAAAAUAGAAAUUUGUAGCCUGUAAUUUCUCAGUUGUCUCGAUUCAGUGAUAUCGUUAUUUGAUCAGUGAAUUAUUAUGCAAGAGGUAACUUCUCAGUUAUGUAAUUAUUACCAGUAUGUACGCAGAUAAACAGGAACGAUAUCCAGAGCGCAAUUGUAAAUCAAAUCGUUGAGAAGUUACGCUCAUUCAUGCAACAUUUAAGAUUUAGGAAGAGUUAUUUGGAUAUUGAUAUUCACAAUUAAACGAUGAAAUUUGCGCCAUAGUAAGUCUCUACUAUCUCCUGCCCAGUAAACAAAAAUUAAUUUGUAAUUGCUGAAAAUCAGGACUUUUCAAAGAAACAAUAGCAAACAGUUUCGAAUUGAUAUCGGUACGUCUUGGAAAGAGCACCAAGUCCUUAUCUCUGUAAAAGUGUCUCGACACAUGUUCUGACACUUAUAACGUGUAAAUUUCACUCCUAACCGAUUUUACCUCCUCGUUAUAUCAUUUCCGCCAAUCUUGUUUGUUCGGAAUCUCGAAACGACUAAACUUUAUCUCUUCUCUAAUUCCACAACCAUGCUAUCUCUUUUGCACCUAUGUAACAUAAUCGUCGAUUUCUUUCUCGCUUCUCCGUUGCUUUCCGCUUUCCGUUUUCUUCUCUUUUCUUUUUUCUUCUUAUUUAUUUUCACUUUUCACAUUGGAGGAUUAUUAUUUUUGACAAAAAUGCGUGUACCGGACUAAUUCUUGACUAAACAUUCGAACCACCCAAUGUAAUUUUGUUAUUCUUGAUUUUCGUCUUACUUCAACGGCUUCAUUUCUCUCAUUUAGGCUCACGGUAUAUAUCUUCGUGUAUUAUUUAUCAUUACAUACCUACAGUUAGAAACGUAUAGCGCGGGAGAUACGAAUUUUCUUCAGCUUCGGAACUUGCAUGUUCUUUACGCGCAAAUCGUCCCUUUGGUAUUAUUUCCUUAGGAAGCGUUUCACUUUCCUCGUUAUUUCCCAAAUCCCAGGAAUCGUACGAAAGCAACGAAGCAAUCUUUCGAUGAUGAACACGUAAUUUCAUUUACUGUACCUACUGUCUCUUGAAAUUAUAUUUUCUCUGUAUAUUUAAUCCAAAAUCUCAAUUACAUAGCCAUUGAUUUGUUACGUUACGGCGAUAAAAAGGGAUCAAUGAGAACGUAAAAGAAGAAAUUGCUGUCCGUUCGGAGUCGGUAUCCCGACGCUUUAUCUUGCCGCGUGGCUAAUCGAAUAAAAAUUAAAGGCGUCGGUGUCGUUGGAAAGAGCGCGCUGGUGCCAGGUGAAACGCGCUGCUGGCCUAGGCAUCGAAGUCGAUUCGAUUUCUCGAGGAGAGCUGUGCCCAGCUGUGGGCGCGGCGGAUAUCCCGCUGUGUUUCUCCAACAUGGCCGACACCUUAUGCACACCCACGCUCUGGUUCUCUUUUUCAUCGCGUCCUCCAUUUCUUUCUCGUUCCUCCGGAGCAUCAAAUUACACGCUCGGUGAAGUAAUUUUCGAUGGCGCGUUCGUGAUCGAGCGUGAUGCAGAAACAUAUCCGUUAUCCUGCGGUUCCGAUGCGCCGUGUUAAAAUUUGCGAUCACCGAUAACGAUGGCCAAAGAUUAAUGGCUACGAGCCAACCGGCUCUGUCUUUACCCCGUGUAUUAACCAUCAAAUGAUUCCUCCGAUUGAUCCAUAUGAAAUUAUGCGUAUACACGAGCUAAAUAAAUAAAUUCUAUCGGGACCGUGAUCUGUUGCAGGAAGAACGAUCGAGCGUGUAAAACGGUGGAAUGAUUAAUCAUAUGUUUCUUGUUAGCUUGGAAAAAUUAUCGGAUUACCCACGUGUAUGUAAAUAAGAAUUAUUGGAUUGAUUUUAUAGUUGAGAAUUGUCUGUAACAAUUUCAAAUUAUAUUUGGAAUUAAUUCGUGAUGAAUGUACGAUCGAUCGCUUAGCGACUAUAAUGAUAAGAAACUUUCAAGUACGUACAAGUAAUACUGAACUAAAACCAAUUCGGUAUUUCUUGUGAUCGAAGAAAUAAUUUUUCAAACUAACGAGAAAUAUGUGAUAUUAUUGAUAAUCGUCUACACGUCCAUCGUUUUACACGCUUAAUCGUUUCUCCUGCAUCGUAAGGUAAUUGCGAUAGUGAAGCUUUAGAUAUUUCCUCUUUUUUUAACAAAUUUAUCUGAUUAAGGACGUAGCGACCGUUCUAAAAAUACAGUUCUGCAAGAAUAAACUGGUAAAAUAUCGAUGAAAGUUAGAUGUGAAAUAGAAUUAGUAAUUCGUAUUAUUUGAUAUUAGAUAUAGAUAUUAGAUUCGUAUUAGAUAUAAAUUUAUGAAGCGAAUUAAUGUUUAAGCAUUCUAUUAAAGACGACAUGUAUUUCUAUUUAACUGUAUCUGUAUUUCAUAUCGAUGUAUAUAUACAAGUAAAACUAUUUAUUCAAAGUUUA